Molecule: ribosomal RNA, 1265 nt
Filed under: Enterococcus mundtii
Lineage: Bacteria; Bacillati; Bacillota; Bacilli; Lactobacillales; Enterococcaceae
Description: bacterial SSU rRNA
Rfam family: Bacterial small subunit ribosomal RNA
Source: RNAcentral
AGUGGCGAACGGGUGAGUAACACGUGGGUAACCUGCCCAUCAGAAGGGGAUAACACUUGGAAACAGGUGCUAAUACCGUAUAACAAUCGAAACCGCAUGGUUUCGUUUUGAAAGGCGCUUUACGGUGCCGCUGAUGGAUGGACCCGCGGUGCAUUAGCUAGUUGGUGAGGUAACGGCUCACCAAGGCCACGAUGCAUAGCCGACCUGAGAGGGUGAUCGGCCACAUUGGGACUGAGACACGGCCCAAACUCCUACGGGAGGCAGCAGUAGGGAAUCUUCGGCAAUGGACGAAAGUCUGACCGAGCAACGCCGCGUGAGUGAAGAAGGUUUUCGGAUCGUAAAACUCUGUUGUUAGAGAAGAACAAGGGUGAGAGUAACUGUUCACCCCUUGACGGUAUCUAACCAGAAAGCCACGGCUAACUACGUGCCAGCAGCCGCGGUAAUACGUAGGUGGCAAGCGUUGUCCGGAUUUAUUGGGCGUAAAGCGAGCGCAGGCGGUUUCUUAAGUCUGAUGUGAAAGCCCCCGGCUCAACCGGGGAGGGUCAUUGGAAACUGGGAGACUUGAGUGCAGAAGAGGAGAGUGGAAUUCCAUGUGUAGCGGUGAAAUGCGUAGAUAUAUGGAGGAACACCAGUGGCGAAGGCGGCUCUCUGGUCUGUAACUGACGCUGAGGCUCGAAAGCGUGGGGAGCAAACAGGAUUAGAUACCCUGGUAGUCCACGCCGUAAACGAUGAGUGCUAAGUGUUGGAGGGUUUCCGCCCUUCAGUGCUGCAGCUAACGCAUUAAGCACUCCGCCUGGGGAGUACGACCGCAAGGUUGAAACUCAAAGGAAUUGACGGGGGCCCGCACAAGCGGUGGAGCAUGUGGUUUAAUUCGAAGCAACGCGAAGAACCUUACCAGGUCUUGACAUCCUUUGACCACUCUAGAGAUAGAGCUUCCCCUUCGGGGGCAAAGUGACAGGUGGUGCAUGGUUGUCGUCAGCUCGUGUCGUGAGAUGUUGGGUUAAGUCCCGCAACGAGCGCAACCCUUAUUGUUAGUUGCCAUCAUUUAGUUGGGCACUCUAGCAAGACUGCCGGUGACAAACCGGAGGAAGGUGGGGAUGACGUCAAAUCAUCAUGCCCCUUAUGACCUGGGCUACACACGUGCUACAAUGGGAAGUACAACGAGUCGCGAAGUCGCGAGGCUAAGCUAAUCUCUUAAAGCUUCUCUCAGUUCGGAUUGUAGGCUGCAACUCGCCUACAUGAAGCCGGAAUCGCUAGUAAUCGCG